AUUCCACGCAGGGAAUCGAACCCGGGCCUUCUAGAUCAAAGCCAGAUAUCCUAGCCACUAGACCACGUAGGA
Molecule: transfer RNA, 72 nt
Filed under: Cordylochernes scorpioides
Lineage: Eukaryota; Metazoa; Arthropoda; Arachnida; Pseudoscorpiones; Chernetidae
Description: tRNA-Gln
Source: RNAcentral